RNAcentral lists this ribosomal RNA (447 nucleotides) under uncultured bacterium. Its description in RNAcentral is "bacterial SSU rRNA". It matches the Rfam family "Bacterial small subunit ribosomal RNA", at positions 331 to 793 of the family's 1533-position model. The record is from RNAcentral.
CCAGACUCCUACGGGAGGCAGCAGUGGGGAAUAUUGCACAAUGGGGGAAACCCUGAUGCAGCGACGCCGCGUGAGUGAGGAAGUAUUUCGGUAUGUAAAGCUCUAUCAGCAGGGAAGAAAAUGACGGUACCUGACUAAGAAGCCCCGGCUAACUACGUGCCAGCAGCCGCGGUAAUACGUAGGGGGCAAGCGUUAUCCGGAUUUACUGGGUGUAAAGGGAGCGUAGACGGCAGGGCAAGUCUGGAGUGAAAGCCCGGGGCCCAACCCCGGGACUGCUUUGGAAACUGCCAUGCUGGAGUGCUGGAGAGGUAAGCGGAAUUCCUAGUGUAGCGGUGAAAUGCGUAGAUAUUAGGAGGAACACCAGUGGCGAAGGCGGCGUACUGGACAGUAACUGACGUUGAGGCUCGAAAGCGUGGGGAGCAAACAGGAUUAGAUACCCCGGUACAG